Molecule: ribosomal RNA, 481 nt
Filed under: uncultured organism
Description: partial 16S ribosomal RNA
Rfam family: Bacterial small subunit ribosomal RNA
Source: RNAcentral
ACGUACACUCCUACGGGAGGCAGCAGUGGGGAAUAUUGCACAAUGGGCGCAAGCCUGAUGCAGCCAUGCCGCGUGUAUGAAGAAGGCCUUCGGGUUGUAAAGUACUUUCAGCGGGGAGGAAGGCGAUAAGGUUAAUAACCUUGUCGAUUGACGUUACCCGCAGAAGAAGCACCGGCUAACUCCGUGCCAGCAGCCGCGGUAAUACGGAGGGUGCAAGCGUUAAUCGGAAUUACUGGGCGUAAAGCGCACGCAGGCGGUCUGUCAAGUCGGAUGUGAAAUCCCCGGGCUCAACCUGGGAACUGCAUUCGAAACUGGCAGGCUAGAGUCUUGUAGAGGGGGGUAGAAUUCCAGGUGUAGCGGUGAAAUGCGUAGAGAUCUGGAGGAAUACCGGUGGCGAAGGCGGCCCCCUGGACAAAGACUGACGCUCAGGUGCGAAAGCGUGGGGAGCAAACAGGAUUAGAUACCCUUGUAGUCCCAUGAU